UCUCAGCUUUUACAGGUGGCUAAUAUGGAAUGAAGUGAUUAUGUUUGGAAGCAGGAGUGACAUGGUGAAAGGAUACCUGAGACAAGCAGGCCACAUCACCUGGCGAAGCAGCUGCGUGGAGGACACUGAGAUAGUCUGUCAGGACUAACUGCAGGACUGGAUGGAGAAGGAUCCUAAGACAGGCAGUCAGCAACAUCUCAUGGAGCAGGAUGACGAUGCACUGCCAGAAAUAACUUAGAGGAAGCAAGAAUACUUGAAAAACAGGAAUCAAUGGAAUCCUCGUGGAAUCUACUCAUGAACGUUUUGAUAAUGGGUUAUUUCUAGUUGAUCUAAUUACGACAGCCAAAAUAACAUUGAUAUUUCACCUUCAUAUAAUCAAAGGCAAGCAGAAAUUGAUAAAUAAGUUCCCUAGUCAACUCCACUGGUUAAAGUUUGUGUUGGCAGGUCACACAUAUAUCUAUACAUAUAUCUUGGUUUUGCUGUCUACCCUUGGCUUAAUCUUGAGACUCUCUUCCUAAUUGCACAGUUCAUAUCUGCAGACUGAACUGUUGUGAAAACAAUUGUGCAAGUACUUUUAAAAUGUUUCUCUGUGACAGUAUUACAGAUGUAACUUUGAAUCCUCAUCAUGUUAAGUUUUUUUCAAUUAUUAAGUGCAUGGCACAAAGGUUGCCUAUCUUCAUAUGAAUUGCCAAUAUUGAAAAGAUGAGAAAACAGUCAAUCUACUGGUCAAAUUACAGUAGGAUGAAUUAUAUGUUGUAUAAGAUUUUUAAUGGACUAUUUUUUAGACAGUUGCCAUUGGAAGUACCAGAGAUUGGGGUGAACUUAAUUUCCUGCUACUACUGUAUGAUCUUUUCAAAUUCUGUCUUAUUGUUAGAAGCAAACUGAAUAACAGCAUAAUUUUGAGCAUUAAUUUUCAGCAUGUUAUUCCAAGCCCAGCACAAUUUAUCGCUCAUAUAAUCUUAUAGAGAAUUUAGAAAACAUAUUAUUCAAGAAUAUAUCUACAGAAGCUCCACAAUCACCUGAUGAAGGAGCGUUGCUCCGAAAGCUAGUGUGCUUCUAAUUAAACCUGUUGAACUAUAACCUGGUGUUGUGUGAUUUUUAACUUUCUACAGAAGUUAUUUAUGUUUACAGAUACCACCUGCAUCCAUAUAGGUGUUUAAUUCAUUCACAGGAUGUGGGUGUCUGGUAAGUUCAGUAUUUAUUUCCCAUCUCUAAUUGUCCUUAAAAUGGUGUUAGUUGGCUUCUGAAGGCAAUGUAGUGGGAUGGAGUUUGGAUUUUAAUCAAGUGAUUAAAAUAAAAUAAUUUGUUUCCAAGUCAGAAUAGUGUGUGAUGCGGAAAGGAACUUGUAGGCUUUGGUGUUUUCAAACAACUGCUGCCCAUAUCCUUGAUAAUUAUUAAAUGACAUGCAAAAUUAAAAAUUCCUGAUGAAGGGCUUAUGCCUGAAAUGUCGAAUUUCCUGUUCCUUGGAUGCUGCCUGACCUGCUGCGCUUUUCCAGCUCUGAUCUCCAGCAUCUGCAGACCUCACUUUCUCCUGCAAAAUUAAAAGCAAACUGUCCAGAAAAAAAAUGGAUGCGAGAGGAUAAUUUUAUGUAAGCAAUAAAUGACCAAUAACACACAGCUAGGAAACAGGAAAU
This is a long non-coding RNA of Hemiscyllium ocellatum (epaulette shark), 1634 nucleotides long. RefSeq lists it as uncharacterized. NCBI's taxonomy places the organism in Eukaryota, Metazoa, Chordata, Chondrichthyes, Orectolobiformes, Hemiscylliidae. The record is from RefSeq and is a predicted model, not a curated record. The transcript has 3 exons.